CAUUGGCCCAGGGAAAUGACGUGGAUGUGUGAGACGACUCCAUUUUCCUUGAUUCAAACGAAGAAUAAAAGUGUCAAAGAAAAGACUUUGCUACUGCUACUGCUACUGCUACUGCUACUGCUACUGCUAAUGUGUUGGGAUGGACAAAAUUAACUUGAGGUCAGAAAGCGCACCAAGGAUGCAGACUAAUGUCGUCUGACUCAAGACAGACCAGAUGCUAAAACCUCGACUCAAAAGUAGCAUUUUUCCUGAAAUAAAAAUUGACUUGGAAAAUAAGAUAUCUCUCGGCCUCUCGUCGUCGUAAGAGUUUUAAAUAUUUCGUGAGUAAGUAUGAUUUUCCUCUUCGAAUGAAUGCGCAGAAAUGUCGGAAUUUGAAGCCUAAAAGAUCGACUUAAAAUGCAUAGCUCAAGCUACCGAUCAAGUUAGAGACUUGAUGGAUGAUGAUUUGUCAAACAAAACAUGAAUUCACUCAGGUCAUAUAAUUCUACCUCUUCUAAAUCAAUAAAAAAUUGACGUGUUUUGA
This is a long non-coding RNA of Actinia tenebrosa (Australian red waratah sea anemone), 523 nucleotides long. RefSeq lists it as uncharacterized. Lineage: Eukaryota; Metazoa; Cnidaria; Anthozoa; Actiniaria; Actiniidae. The record is from RefSeq and is a predicted model, not a curated record.